GGGAACGAAACUAAACCUGUGAACAUUGGGGUUUUUAGAGUGAGAAAGGGGAAAAGUAAGGCUACUCAUUUGGGGUUUUUAGAGUGAGAAAGCCGAAGAUGGUGAAGCGUGAAAAGCAUGAGGAAAUGGAGGAAGCACGAAGAAGGCAACGAAUGGGUGGGAAAAUUGCAGAAGGUGAGGAAAAGAGGGCAGUGACUAGCUGCGAACGACUGAGAAGAAGAGGGGAGUGUGGCGAGAUGAGGGCAGCGCAAUGGCGGAGAUGGAGGUGAGGGAGUUGCAAGUUGUGGAGCAGCAAAGUGGAGGUCACGAAGAUGGCGGAGAUGGUGGCGGAAAUGGGGCAGCAGGGUGACGGAAAUGGCAGGGAUGGCGGUGGUUGCAGGCGAGCGGUGGUGGUUGGAGUGGAGAGAUGGUGGCGACCGGGAGCAGAGCAGGUGACAGGGGUGGAGACGCGUGGAGGAGAUGUGGUCGAGAGAGGUGGAGAUGGGGAGAGAUUAGGGGAGGAGCUGCGUGAACAGCAGAUGGGUGGAAGUAGCAACGGUUUAGAGAGAGAGAGCAGCGAGGUGAACAGGAGCAGGGACUUUAGAGACAGAGCGGCGAGGUGAAUGACGGGGAAGAAGGUUGUAAGUGGUGGUGGAAGAAAGGGCUGAGAUUGAGGGUAGCUCAGCUGUGGAGGAGAAGGCUUGAUGGACUAGGGAGAUGGUUGUGGAUGGUGUGACGAGAAAGAGGAGGCCAUUGGUGGACGAGAAAGGGGCUGAAUUUUGGGUACAGUGAAAAGGAGGGGAGUGGCUGAGGUUGCAGGGGAGAGGUUGCGAUGAAGAGAGAUGGUUGAGGUGGUUCGUGAGUGGACGAGAGCUGACGGAGCGAUGAGAGGUAAGGGGCUCGGCAGUGAAGGGUAGCAGAGGUAGAAAGAGAUGAUGAAUGGUUAGAGAGAGAGCAACAGUAGGGUAGGAGAGGGAAGCAGGGCAAUGGUGUGAAGAGGGGCACACGGCGAUGGUGUGGAGAGGGGCACACGGUGAUGGGUGGAGUUCACGCGCGGCGAUGAGUUGAUUUCACCGGAC
RNAcentral lists this long non-coding RNA (1058 nucleotides) under Amborella trichopoda. RNAcentral's name for it is "long non-coding RNA (ATRI_LNC000981)". Lineage: Eukaryota; Viridiplantae; Streptophyta; Magnoliopsida; Amborellales; Amborellaceae. The record is from RNAcentral.